Molecule: ribosomal RNA, 567 nt
Filed under: Aureobasidium sp.
Lineage: Eukaryota; Fungi; Ascomycota; Dothideomycetes; Dothideales; Saccotheciaceae
Description: partial large subunit ribosomal RNA
Rfam family: Eukaryotic large subunit ribosomal RNA
Source: RNAcentral
AGUACGGCGAGUGAAGCGGCAACAGCUCAAUUUGAAAGCUGGCCUUCGGGUCCGCAUUGUAAUUUGUAGAGGAUGCUUUGGGUAAAACGCCAGUCUAAGUUCCUUGGAACAGGACGUCAUAGAGGGUGAGAAUCCCGUAUGUGACUGGAAAUGUUAACCUAUGUAAAGCUCCUUCGACGAGUCGAGUUGUUUGGGAAUGCAGCUCUAAUGGGAGGUAAAUUUCUUCUAAAGCUAAAUAUUGGCGAGAGACCGAUAGCGCACAAGUAGAGUGAUCGAAAGAUGAAAAGCACUUUGGAAAGAGAGUUAAAAAGCACGUGAAAUUGUUGAAAGGGAAGCGCUUGCAAUCAGACUUGUUUAAACUGUUCGGCCGGUCUUCUGACCGGUUUACUCAGUUUGGACAGGCCAGCAUCAGUUUCGGCGGCCGGAUAAAGGCUCUGGGAAUGUGGCCUCCACUUCGGUGGAGGUGUUAUAGCCCAGGGUGUAAUACGGCCAGCCGGGACUGAGGUCCGCGCUUCGGCUAGGAUGCUGGCGUAAUGGUUGUAAGCGACCCGUCUUGAAACACGGACC